AAUAUGUUAUAAACAAAUAAUAUAUAAAUCCGUACCGAACCCCAAACAGUAUUUAACGCGUGUGUUCCCAUCCGCCAGUUGCUUUGCCGCGAAUCUACGAUUGUGUGAGUGUGUUUCUGUGCCUGUAUGUAUUCGUUGAAUGAUGUGGCUGUGCCGUUUUUUCAAAUUGCCGUUGAUUACAAGCCGAGACAGUACGAUCACACGCACACACUCGCAAACAAAGACUUAACCGAAAUAAUGAGUGGGUACGGGACGGAUGCAGGCAGCAUUUACAGUUGGUCGGACUCCGCGACGCUCUGCUCUGAUCUUUUCCUUCGAAUGCAGCACCUAAUAAGAAAUGAUUUAAUUUCAAUAACGAUUUAAUAAAAAUGAAUUUGCGAAACGAAAUUGACGAGAAGAAUAACGUGAAAGGCCUGAGCAGAUCACAUCGGACCAGACCAGGCUCCUCGUGCGUGUGUAUGCAUGUAUUGGUGUGUUUGUGUGUAAUUCGCCAUACUUCUUCCUCAAUGCCUCAAUUCAAAGAACAGACAGAAGAAGAGCACUAAAACAACAAGAACAAGAAGAGCGGCAGAAAAGCAGCAGCGGUGGCGGCGGCAAAAGGCAAGACAUACUUGAAAAAUAAAAGCAGCGCUGCCCCGAUCGUUACUCACUCACACAACGGCACUCACUCACUCCAGUAGUCGCUCUCACUCUCUGCCUCUCGUUUUGCUCUCCAUUGCUGUGCUCUCGCGAGUGUGUGUGUAAGCUUUGCCUGCCAUGUCUGUUCUGGUAUGUAUAUAGCAGGCGAAAAAAAACCUAUAUAUUACGUUCAAUUUUCCCUAUAUUUUUUGCGCCUGCCAAUAAGCGGUUCUUUGUCGGAGUUGCCACACAGCCUCGAAAUUCGUCGAAUUUUAAAUUGGAAACGAGCAAGCAAGCGCACGGACAUUUCAUUGAAAUAGUUAAACCAUGUAUGUACACUUAAACGAGUGUAUGUAGGUUCUGUAUUCCGCUGAUAAGACACGCAGAACCGCCUGCUCCAGAGACUCCCGGCUUAUCAACGAAAAGAGGAAAAAACUGUGUAGCAAAAAUGGGUCGAGCGACGACCGAGCAAGCACAUUGUGUAUUGUUUUUUGUUGUGUUUGCACUAUCGCU
Molecule: long non-coding RNA, 1131 nt
Filed under: Drosophila guanche
Lineage: Eukaryota; Metazoa; Arthropoda; Insecta; Diptera; Drosophilidae
Source: RNAcentral